AGGAGUAUAGUUAAAAUUAUAAUAUUUAUUUUGCUAAUAAAAGUUAUUAAAAUUAAUUAUUCUUA
This 65-nucleotide transfer RNA is filed under the name Trichogramma japonicum. RNAcentral's name for it is "tRNA-Ala". The record is from RNAcentral. Lineage: Eukaryota; Metazoa; Arthropoda; Insecta; Hymenoptera; Trichogrammatidae.